RNAcentral lists this long non-coding RNA (491 nucleotides) under Brachypodium distachyon (stiff brome). RNAcentral's name for it is "long non-coding RNA (BDIS_LNC003570)". The record is from RNAcentral. Lineage: Eukaryota; Viridiplantae; Streptophyta; Magnoliopsida; Poales; Poaceae.
ACGGCGAGGUGGAGAUAGAGAUGAGGGAUUGGCUGCACUGGUUCGUGCCUUUGUGCGUUCAUUCGAUCAUCCCCUACGGGGCCCGCACAAAAGGCCAGUUAGAACAUCAGAUUAUCUUUCUUUUUUUUGCGAACAGAUUAUCGUCUCCGCUUGUACGUGCACGUUUGCGUCAGGCGACGAAGAAUAACGAAAUAAUUUAAUCGGUUCUCUGGGUAAAAAGAUCAGUCGGAUUUGAAAGAAAAAAAAAAGUAGAAUAUCGGAUUUGCCUCUCCGCACAAGUUGCACUAAUCUUAUAGGUUUAGAAUAGUCGUACUAGCCAUUCAUCCGAAACUGCACGAACAUAAGAUCAUUGAACUUUCUUCGCAAAAAAAAAUACUUGAACUUAUUGUGGGCGAGGACACACCCACACCCCUUGCAUGGUGCAACGGGCUUCAAACCGCUAAUUCACCACCAGCGAGAAAGAAGAUUUCAAAGAUAAAAGUAAAACCAUG